Molecule: ribosomal RNA, 367 nt
Filed under: uncultured bacterium
Lineage: Bacteria
Description: bacterial SSU rRNA
Rfam family: Bacterial small subunit ribosomal RNA
Source: RNAcentral
UACCAUCAUUGAGUUGGGGACUCUGAAGAUACUGCCCCGGUCAACGGGGAGGAAGGUGGGGAUGACGUCAAGUCCUCAUGGCCUUUAUGUCCAGGGCUACACACGUGCUACAAUGGGCUGUACAGAGGGUAGCGACCUCGCGAGAGCAAGCCAAUCCCAAAAAGCAGUCCUUAGUUCGGAUUGGAGUCUGCAACUCGACUCCAUGAAGCUGGAAUCGCUAGUAAUCGCGGAUCAGCAUGCCGCGGUGAAUACGUUCCCGGGCCUUGUACACACCGCCCGUCACACCAUGAGAGUUAGUUGUACCAGAAGUUGUUGGGCUAACCCGCAAGGGAGGCAGGCACCUAAGGUAUGGCUGAUGAUUGGGGUG